GACGAACGCUGGCGGCGUGCUUAACACAUGCAAGUCGAACGGAAAGGCCCUGCUUUUGUGGGGUGCUCGAGUGGCGAACGGGUGAGUAACACGUGAGUAACCUGCCCUUGGCUUUGGGAUAACUUCAGGAAACUGGGGCUAAUACCGGAUAGGAGCUCCUGCUGCAUGGUGGGGUUGGGAAAGUUCGGCGGUUGGGGAUGGACCCGCGGCUUAUCAGCUUGGUGGUGGGGUAGUGGCUUACCAAGGCUUUGACGGGUAGCCGGCCUGAGAGGGUGACCGGCCACAUUGGGACUGAGAUACGGCCCAGACUCCUACGGGAGGCAGCAGUGGGGAAUAUUGCAGAAUGGGCGGAAGCCUGAUGCAGCAACGCCGCGUGCGGGAUGACGGCCUUCGGGUUGUAAACCGCUUUCGCCUGUGACGAAGCGUGAGUGACGGUAAUGGGUAAAGAAGCACCGGCUAACUACGUG
This 467-nucleotide ribosomal RNA is filed under the name uncultured bacterium. Its description in RNAcentral is "partial 16S ribosomal RNA". It matches the Rfam family "Bacterial small subunit ribosomal RNA", at positions 28 to 507 of the family's 1533-position model. The record is from RNAcentral.